GGAGGCUCCCGGGCCCGGGCUGCCCCAGGCAGGCUGGCCUUUAAGGGCGGCCCCCUGUCGCCCAAAGGGAGUCGUUCUCCCCUCGCCUCUUUUCUUACCUAAACCCAUCCCUCUAUACACACACACACACACACACACACACACACACACACACACACACACACACGCUCUCACAGCUUGGCGUGUUGUUUAAAACAGGUGGAAGACCUCUGUAAUGAUAUUAUGCCUUUCAAUAAAAAUUUUAUGAGGUGUAUUUGAUUAUAGAUUAAUGUGUCCCUAAUAAAACGGACGGAUGGAGCAGCUCGGAGUGCCCCUCCCUCUACCGCGCUCACACUCCCGGGGCAGCCACAUGUCCUUGAUCCACCCCCUUUCCAGUUUUCCCCUUGAGAGGUAAGGCCGGGCAGCCUUGAAUCUGAGAGAAAUGC
Molecule: long non-coding RNA, 425 nt
Filed under: Mus spretus (western wild mouse)
Lineage: Eukaryota; Metazoa; Chordata; Mammalia; Rodentia; Muridae
Description: predicted gene 28793 (ENSMSPG00010022278.1)
Source: RNAcentral